ACAAAAAUUCGACAGAGGAGAAAAGGGAGACAUAACGUCAAAAGCUGAGAGAAAAUUUGGGAAAAAGAAAAAGAAUAAAAAUUAAAUAAAAUCUAAUUAAAAACCUACUAAUAUCCUAACUCCCCACUAAUUCACCUCCAACUACCCUAGAAUCCCAGAAGCACCGAAACUCUACUAUGCAACUGAGCCAAAAAUGAUACCCACGCUCGGGCAGGAAUUCGAACACAAGAUC
RNAcentral lists this long non-coding RNA (232 nucleotides) under Gossypium raimondii (Peruvian cotton). RNAcentral describes it as "long non-coding RNA (GRAI_LNC000408)". Lineage: Eukaryota; Viridiplantae; Streptophyta; Magnoliopsida; Malvales; Malvaceae. The record is from RNAcentral.